GUCAACAUUGGUAGUUUAUAAAUAAAAUAGACUUUGACUAUUGCACUAUUGCUUGUGUAAAGAACCUUUGUGUAGACAUGUACAGUAAAAACAUCUCGGCAUUUCUUACCAUAAUAUUUUCCCAAACUAAUGGCCAUUUUCCACUGCAUGGUACCGGCUCAACUACUCGUCUAUAGCCUCGACUUUAAUGCUUCAUGGGGGACAGUUCUUUACUGUGUUUGAACACCGUUGUGUCCGUAGAUGGCGCUAUAGCUAAUUGCACAUGUGUAAGGCAAGACAAUAGCAAUUUGGAUUCCACGCUGUUGUACCGUGAAAACUAGAAGGAACAUUCAUUUUAGCGACUUGGUUCUCUCGUCAACUCUAGUUCAAAGUGUAUAAGCUAUAUGCUCUGAAUUGGACAAUACAACAUGUUGAUUAUCAAAUUGUUUUACUACAAUUUGAUGAACUCCCGAAACAAACGAAGAUCAAGGAUUUUUUGGACAUCAGACCGAAAAUUGUUGAACGCAGAGUCACCUACAUCGAUGGUGAUGACGUUUUCUGUAGUUUUGUUGCCGGACCAGGAUGACUGUGUGGCAGCAGUUCCACGCCAGGAUGGAGCAAGCACAGUACUCUAAGGCACCAGAGAGGUACUCCAUGCCACCAUGUAGAGGAUGGCUACAUAGGGCAAGAAUGCAGAGGCAGGGGGAAGUUUUAGCUCUGCACAUGAAGAACAUUUGGAGAAGAUCAAGUGGCUGACUGAAGAGAAGGUUGAGCUGAGGGCACAGCUGGCUCUACAAUCAGGAGCCAUAAGGAAGAAUCCUUCCAACUGGGAUGCCACUGACGAGGCUGUCCAGAACCAGGUCCCCAGGUACCAGAAAGGGGCAGCUGCCCGUGCAGGUGGGAGAUGUCGCGGCGGUACAAGGGACCUGCCGUGAAUAUGAAUGACAUCUCCAGCACAACCAAUAUUGCUGCUAAGCUGCAGUACUGUAUUUCUUUUUUAUAUAUA
Esox lucius (northern pike) is the source of this 985-nucleotide long non-coding RNA. The record is from Ensembl. Lineage: Eukaryota; Metazoa; Chordata; Actinopteri; Esociformes; Esocidae.